UCUUUUCUAAAAGAAAUGCAUGUUUGUGCUUAGUUCCUCUCUCCUCUAGCCUUAAGAGCAAGAGGCAUCAGAUCAAGAGCGACCCUACACCGUUCGGCUAUGAAGACACCAUGCGAGGUGCACUUCCUGCUGAGAGCAAAAGUAAAGGUACUGCCGGUACCAAGCCCGCUGUGCCGAGGUCUGCGUCUCAACCAGGAUGGAAUCAACGGCGUCUGCCAUCAAUGGACGCUGAGGAUUUUGAGACCAUUCCAUCAAGUGCUGAAGAACUCUCCAUUUCCUCAGAUGGAGAGGAUGAAGGACAUAACAAAAACGUAUGUGUCUGGGUCUACCAUGUCUUUAUCCACCUUCUG
RNAcentral lists this long non-coding RNA (350 nucleotides) under Sinocyclocheilus grahami. RNAcentral describes it as "lncRNA (ENSSGRG00000047832.1)". The record is from RNAcentral. Lineage: Eukaryota; Metazoa; Chordata; Actinopteri; Cypriniformes; Cyprinidae.